Long non-coding RNA from Dicentrarchus labrax (European seabass), 1502 nucleotides. RefSeq lists it as uncharacterized. The record is from RefSeq and is a predicted model, not a curated record. NCBI's taxonomy places the organism in Eukaryota, Metazoa, Chordata, Actinopteri, Moronidae. The transcript is spliced from 2 exons.
AUGUAAUAACAUCAGCUCUAGUCUUAUAAUUUGGGAUUCAUCCCUUCUUGAAUUAUUUUCCGAUGAUCAAGAAGACUUUAGGACUUUAUUUUAGCAAAGUUAUGAUUACAGAUAACGAAUUAUAUAUUGGGUAAAGAGAAGAGAUGUAACAUGGUCUGUCUUGCACAAAUCUACUUCAAACUGAUUUGAAAGGUGUUUUUUACUUACAGAUCCUCCUGUAAUGCAGUUUUCAGGUUAUGUGGUCUUUUUUAGUUCUGUAAGACAUGCUUGUAAGGGGUGGGAGAUCUGGCUAAGAAAUAAUAUCACAUUUCACCAAUUGCAAGUCUGUAUUUGACGACCUGGGAUGGAGAUUCAACAAUCAGCAAUCUUUCUUGGCUCUGAUUGAUUGUUUUUAUUCAAGCCUGGUGGAUUCUUGCAAAUGCAAUUGGGAGCACUGGGAGUAGACAGAGGAACCUGAUUUUUUUAAGGUUAAUUUGAAAAAAGUUACCUACUGCAGCUUUAAAGAUACUUUCAGAAUUGUGAUUCAAACCAGUUUAAUUUGUCAUAGUAAACAGAAGCCAAAAGAUAACAUCAUCAUAAAAUAACACGGACAUGAACUUACUCACUGUGGAUACUUCACAAUCAGAUGGUCCACCCUUACAUGCUUGUAUGUCAUAUUUUCUUUGCUCCUUUUUGGUUUAUUAUCAUCACGGUUAGGAUAUUGUUUUCAGUAACUGACUGAGCACAAAUUUGGUCUGCCUGACACGUUUCACCUGGGAAACAGACUUUAAGUUAAUGCAUGCCUCUACUCUCUGAAAUGUUACAUGCAGAUGGCCCCCAUUUAGCUGUACCUCUGGCAAAUAUAGGCUACUAUAAAUAUAGAUGGAAAGAGAUGAAGAGAUGGAGAGGGAUGGGGUGGGGGGUUUCCAUAGCAACAGAGAUGGGGGAGGCUUUGAAUCCAGACCAACUUGAAUAAUUAGGAUACAGGGAGAUGACCGCUUUAAAUGGAAUAGUUUGUAGGGAUGGAUAUUUGACAGACACCAGCCCACAGGGAACUCCCACACUAGUCACUAAAGUGACCGUGAUUGACGUAUCGGGGAACCAAUGGAAGAGGUGGAGUCCCUGCGUUUGGUCAAUCACAGCCCUGACAAUCAUCGAGUGACGCAGAGGAAGGGGGCGGGGAAAGUUCUACUGAGAAGCAAAGAAAGAGAAGAAUGAGAGAACGGCGCGAGCUGCUCGAGCUUGAGGUCGGGGAUGUCUGAACGGGCACCAGGGUUUCCCAAAGGUUUAUAUUCGCCUCCGCGUGAAACGUUACCAUGGAUCUGUGGCAGAUUCCCCGUCUCUGGACAGACUCUUUCCGCCUGGAAUGUGUGUACCAUAAAAUUCCACAAAGCCACACCUUGGUCCGGAAUACUCAGCUUCCCGACAUUCUCAGUGCGGGUCCGACCACGCGCUCACGUGGUUGGAAUGUAGAAAAAUAAAUAAAUAAUUACAGUGAAAAUAAAAUCAUUCUUUGACGCUUU